UUUAAGUGCAGUUGUGAUUUUCCGUGUCAAAUGUUUGACCGUCUGUCUUAUUUGAAAAUUUUAACAAAAAUGAAUCAUGCAUAAAGUACUAUUCAUGUUUUAUCAUCUAAUAAUAAUAAAAAAUUUAAAAUAAGACGGAUGGUCAAACGUUGGACACGGAAACUCAUGGCUACACUUAAA
MicroRNA precursor from Oryza sativa Japonica Group (Japanese rice), 180 nucleotides. It matches the Rfam family "MIR812 microRNA precursor family". NCBI's taxonomy places the organism in Eukaryota, Viridiplantae, Streptophyta, Magnoliopsida, Poales, Poaceae. The record is from Rfam.